Molecule: non-coding RNA, 831 nt
Organism: Cinara cedri
Lineage: Eukaryota; Metazoa; Arthropoda; Insecta; Hemiptera; Aphididae
Source: the annotation of a GenBank genome assembly
GCAAGACUGCUCGCUCACAUUCAAUGAACAUCUGAGUAGCUUAAGUAAAAAUAUUCGAACCCGUAUUAACCUAGUAAAAAUGCAAGUUGGUACAGGCUGGGAUGACGAUGCUAAGAAUCUAAAGGAUAGCAAGUUUGGGCCAAGUCUAUAGUACAGUGGCGUAUGGGUCCAAAACACGGGAUGAUAGCUCACACGAUAAGAAAGUAGAUACGCAGCUUAACAGUGUAAUGAGAAUAAUUAGCGGAACUGUUAAAUCUACACCACUUCAAUGGUUACCAGUACUGGCAAACAUUAAACCGCCACUUAUACGAAGGAAUGAAGUACUCUUAAAAACCAUUAGGAAGUCUGAAGAUCAAAAAUGUUCACCCCUAUACCAGAUGCUGCUUCAUACACCUCAUCAGCGCUAAAAAUCCAGGAGUCCAGUGUCCUCGAAUAGUAAAAUUUCCAGUUCAGGACAAUGCUGAGGAAUGGUGAAAGAAUGGGCUAGCACUACUAUAUCAAACAGGAAACUUGUUCUCGACCCUAAUAUUGGAGUCCUAAGGAUGAACCUUCUUCAUAGCAAAUGGUGUACACUAAACAGAUUACGAACAGGCAAUGACAGGUGCGGCGCUUUCUAACAUAAAUGUGGGUUCCAAGACAAUUCAUCCUGUGAUUGUGGAAGCACGGAUAAAACGAUGGACCACAUUGUAACGGAAUGCCGGAAAAGAAAAUUUGGCCGGGUUUAUUUAAGGCCUACAUCAAGUGACGCCAGACGCAAUAGACUGGAUAGGUAACCUCGAUAUACGUCUAUGAAGCAAUUAUGUGAAUAAUUAAAAUUAAAAUUUUGUUUAG